GAUCAUGGCUCAGGACGAACGCUGGCGGCGUGCUUAACACAUGCAAGUCGAACGAAGAUGCCGAGGGAGCUUGCUCCCAUGGCAGACUGAGUGGCGGACGGGUGAGUAACGCGUGAGUAACCUGCCUUCAAGAGGGGGACAACUUAGGGAAACUUAAGCUAAUACCGCAUGACGUUAAUUUAUCGCAUGAUAGAUUAAUCAAAGAUUUAUCGCUUGAAGAUGGACUCGCGUCCG
This 234-nucleotide ribosomal RNA is filed under the name uncultured bacterium. RNAcentral's name for it is "partial 16S ribosomal RNA". It matches the Rfam family "Bacterial small subunit ribosomal RNA", at positions 15 to 239 of the family's 1533-position model. The record is from RNAcentral.